UUCACACCAGUCAGGCGAACAGGUUCUAGUGUAAAGUCACCUGAGGAACUGGAACCAGAAGAGUUUCCUCUGACGCCCCCCGGACCAACCGACGGGUUCCCUCUCCGCCGAAGGAGCGCUCGUGCGUAUCACCCCCCACGUCACCCCCCCUCACCUGCUUCCGGUUUGCUCAGGUGAUGUUUACUCUGACGGUGUGAAAACGUGUCAAUACGUUCCCUGUUUGUUUGUGUUUUUGUGGACUUUGUUGACGAUGAAUACACAUUUAAAAAGAAGAUAAUAUCACCAGACUUUGUACUUUUAAAGAGUGUUGAAGAGAGUAAUGAAACCCGUGUACACCGGAGAGGCACAAAUAAACUCACCUCACACGUCUGAGGUACGAAGCUUCACACACAACUUCUCGGAUUUUGUUCGUCUCCGGCUGGAUUUACAAAAAUUCCACGAGGAGAGCAACAGAAUGGGAGGAAGCAGGACACGAGGUCAAAGGAAAGGGCCGAGCGGGAGGAGGAGGAAACGACACAGAAAGACGGGAGCGCUUGAAAAGUUUUUUUUUU
Molecule: long non-coding RNA, 551 nt
Organism: Cyclopterus lumpus (lumpfish)
Lineage: Eukaryota; Metazoa; Chordata; Actinopteri; Perciformes; Cyclopteridae
Exons: 2
Source: RefSeq, a predicted model, not a curated record